AGCUGCAGAGACCUACCUGUGUUUGCUGUGGCGACUGUCCGGGCCAAAGCUCAGGCAGCUGGAAGUAUCAGUGAAGCCAGAAGAUUCUAGCUGUUCAGGGUCUGUGAGGAGGAGUCAAGGUCUGGGGUUUGUGUCCUCUGGCAUAGCAAUGGCACUGCAAUGGGGGAGCCUGUUGCUGGGCUGGGCCAUCUCGCCACUGUCACCUGCCUGUUGAGGGGUGACGGUGGUUGUUGAGAGGCUGGAUCAGACCCCAGAGGUGACAUGGAUGUGGCAUAUUUGUUGGACUUACACAGCCUUGCAUUUUAUUUUCAUCUCUGUUCCUUCCUCCCAUGAGAUCUUGGGUGGUGUUUAUCAACCCUGAGUAAUCGUUUCUUUGUCUGCAAGAUGGAAUAAAAAGGCCUACCUCAUUGGGCUCGUGUGGGUGAGGAGAACUGAAGAGUCUGAGAGCGCGGCACGAGCCAGAGGCUACGGAAAACACUGCCCUCCUACACUCCACCUUGGAGAGACCCAGAAAAGAACAAGCUUCAUUUGUAAAAAAGGAAAACAACUCAGGCAAUGGGGGUGGCUUAAAGGCACUCUACAGUGUGCAGAUGCCUUCCACUUCUUCCAUCUGCCCUGUCUCUCCAAGAACCCCUAUGGCCCCGGUCUCAGAACAGAGCUGAGUGCAGAAAUGAAAAUCUAUGGCUCUGUGUUCCAAAACGAUGAAGAAUUUCAAGAUGGUGGCAGUGGUAAAAUCUUUCUCCAGGAAAAAUCUGUCCUUGGCCCAAUGUGUAAACACUUGCUGAGGAACUUGGAAUAACUUGCAGUGUCUUGCAGUAUUGUGAAACCAGCAACUUGUUCACAAUUCUUCUGAAUUUCUUGGGAAAUUUGAAGUGGAGUACCUGUACCAACAUGAAAUGACACGAAUUUAAGUGACGCUCAACAACGAAAAGCAAAAAGAACCAAAGAGGAAGCAACUGAAACAACAUCUGGAUGUAUUUAAAAAUAUACAAUGCCUCCAAAAUCAGGUGUCAUUAAUGAAAAUUCUGAAGAAAUGCCACCGGACAUAGCCAACGCACCUACGCUGUUGUUAUUCAUUUCCUGCUUUUCACAGAAAACAAUUUUGUUGCAUGGAAGAUCGUGAACUUCAAAGGGCAGAGGGGAAACUGUCCCUUGGCCUCUACCCCUCCAAGGCCCCACUUUUUUGUCAACACUCCUUGGACGCAGCAGAAGUAUGAACAUAAUAUGGUCCUGAAUGAGGCUGAGUCUUUGGGCGCAGAAGACCCGGGUUAAUAAAAAUAGGAAGGUAAGAAAAGAAAAGAAAAAUCAAGACACAUCAUAGGACUAAAUUCCUAUUAUUUAUCCACUCAGGAUUGACCACCCCUUUGGGCCAGAUAGUUGUACCCCCAUGUACCAGGUGGGCACAUGAAGACACAAGAAGUGCUGUGAUGGUUCAUUUUGCACGUCACCUUGCGUGGAGUAUGCCAACUCAUUGUUUGGUCAAACACUAGUCUGGACAUGGUGGUAAAGGUAUUUUUUAGAUGAGAUUAACACUUAAAUCAGUAAAGCAGGUUACCCACCAUACUACGGGUGGGCCCUGUCCAAUCAGUUGAAGGCAUUAAGAACAAAGAUUGAGGUUUCCUAAAGAAGAUGGAAUUCUCCUUGAGACUACAACAUAGAAACCCUAUCUGAGUUUCCAGCCUGUUGCCCUGUGGAAUUCAAACUCAGGACUCCGGUCUAUGACAUUAACCCUCACUUAACUUUUCAGCCUGCCAGCCUGCCCUAUGGAUUUCGGACUUGCCAGCCACACAAUUCCUUAAAAUAAAUCUCUCCGUCUCUGUC
RNAcentral lists this long non-coding RNA (1821 nucleotides) under Homo sapiens (human). RNAcentral's name for it is "downregulated RNA in cancer, inhibitor of cell invasion and migration". The record is from RNAcentral. Lineage: Eukaryota; Metazoa; Chordata; Mammalia; Primates; Hominidae.